Molecule: long non-coding RNA, 968 nt
Organism: Schistocerca piceifrons (Central American locust)
Lineage: Eukaryota; Metazoa; Arthropoda; Insecta; Orthoptera; Acrididae
Exons: 4
Source: RefSeq, a predicted model, not a curated record
AGGAUGACUUGCUUGCCAUGAUUGGGGCAGCAGUGAGAAGAAAGAAGAAACAACAUGGAGGCAUGCUGAACCUGUCAAAGACGAAGAAUCGGCCAAUGAUUCUUAUUGGAGGAUAACAGUGGCCCUGAACUUAAUGGCUGUAGUGAUGUCGUGAAGGCACAAAGUCGGAAGUUGUUAAACCUUCAGAAACAAGAUUUUCAAAAGUACUUCUUCUCAGAUACCAAUAUUUCGCCCCUGUUUGUGUCGGAUACAUAGAUGUCUCAGUUGUUGUCACAUAAUUUGAGUGUAGUGACUGAAUCUAGAAAACAGUUUCUUUUGCUUCCCUGUUCCCCAAGCAUUAUGUGCAAUGCAGGACUCCUAACAAGACAAACACACAGAGCGCAGCCCUCUGUCUUCUCUUGCCAUUUCUGCAGUUUGGGAGCACAGUCCGGAAGUCUGACUCAUGUUGACCGGACCGGCAGGGCGAAAAUGGUCAACGUGGGUUCGAAGCUGGUGACAGAACGAACUGCUACAGCAUGAGCAAAGGUUUUUGUGGGACCCGAACUGAUGAAACUCGUACGAGAAAAUGGCCUGAAGAAAGGUGACGUACUUAGCAUUGCUCGCCUGGCGGUAAUUGUGGGGUCCAAGCAGACGUCCAGCCUUAUCCCUCUGUGUCAUAACAUAACUUUAUCCUCUGUGGCUGUGGACAUUGAACUGGACUCUGCUCUCAACUGUGUGAUUAUAACUGGCACGGCAAAGUGUAGAGGGCAGACGGGCGUGGAGAUGGAAGCUCUCACUGCUGUAUCGGUGUCUGCCUUAACAGUGUAUGAUAUGUGCAAAGCUGUGAGUCAUGACAUUGUGAUAUCUGAAAUAAUGCUUCUGGCCAAAAGUGGGGGAACUAGAGGAGACUUCCACCUGACAUGAGCAUCUGUGUGGGUUGUAAUAUUUGACAUUGCAGCUUUUGAAAAUGGAGCAGGAUGUUGUGCCCU